UACGAAGGGGGCUAGCGUUGCUCGGAAUCACUGGGCGUAAAGCGCACGUAGGCGGCUCGUUAAGUCAGGGGUGAAAUCCUGGAGCUCAACUCCAGAACUGCCUUUGAUACAGCACGUCUCGAGUCCGGAAGAGGUGGGUGGAAUUCCUAGUGUAGAGGUGAGAUUCGUAGAUAUUAGGAAGAACACCGGUGGCGAAGGCGGCCCACUGGUCCGGUACUGACGCUGAGGUGCGAAAGCGUGGGGAGCAAACAGG
RNAcentral lists this ribosomal RNA (253 nucleotides) under uncultured bacterium. RNAcentral's name for it is "partial 16S ribosomal RNA". It matches the Rfam family "Bacterial small subunit ribosomal RNA", at positions 524 to 776 of the family's 1533-position model. The record is from RNAcentral.